RNAcentral lists this non-coding RNA (117 nucleotides) under Homo sapiens (human). Lineage: Eukaryota; Metazoa; Chordata; Mammalia; Primates; Hominidae. The record is from Rfam by way of RNAcentral.
GCCGGGUGUGGUGGCUCACGCCUGUAAUCCCAGCUACUUGGGAGGCUGAGGUGGGAGGAUCGUUUGAGCACGGGAGUUGCUGAUGAGCCUGGGAAACAUAGUGAGACCCCAUCUCUA